UACGAUUGACGGAGCGAAGCGACGUCAAAGCGUAUACAAAGUCGAGUCGGUUUAAGGAUACGUUCGUUGGGUAGGGGAGCGUUCUGUAAGCCUGUGAAGGUGUGUCGUGAGGCAUGCUGGAGGUAUCAGAAGUGCGAAUGCUGACAUAAGUAACGAUAAAGCGGGUGAAAAGCCCGCUCGCCGGAAGACCAAGGGUUCCUGUCCAACGUUAAUCGGGGCAGGGUGAGUCGACCCCUAAGGCGAGGCCGAAAGGCGUAGUCGAUGGGAAACAGGUUAAUAUUCCUGUACUUGGUGUUACUGCGAAGGGGGGACGGAGAAGGCUAUGUUGGCCGGGCGACGGUUGUCCCGGUUUAAGCGUGUAGGUGUGUGUUCCAGGUAAAUCCGGUUCACUUUAACACUGAGGCGUGAUGACGAGGCACUACGGUGCUGAAGCAACAAAUGCCCUGCUUCCAGGAAAAGCCUCUAAGCAUCAGGUAACAUCAAAUCGUACCCCAAACCGACACAGGUGGUCAGGUAGAGAAUACCAAGGCGCUUGAGAGAACUCGGGUGAAGGAACUAGGCAAAAUGGUGCCGUAACUUCGGGAGAAGGCACGCUGACACGUAGGUGAAGUGAUUUACUCAUGGAGCUGAAGUCAGUCGAAGAUACCAGCUGGCUGCAACUGUUUAUUAAAAACACAGCACUGUGCAAACACGAAAGUGGACGUAUACGGUGUGACGCCUGCCCGGUGCCGGAAGGUUAAUUGAUGGGGUCAGCGCAAGCGAAGCUCCUGAUCGAAGCCCCGGUAAACGGCGGCCGUAACUAUAACGGUCCUAAGGUAGCGAAAUUCCUUGUCGGGUAAGUUCCGACCUGCACGAAUGGCGUAAUGAUGGCCAGGCUGUCUCCACCCGAGACUCAGUGAAAUUGAACUCGCUGUGAAGAUGCAGUGUACCCGCGGCAAGACGGAAAGACCCCGUGAACCUUUACUAUAGCUUGACACUGAACAUUGAGCCUUGAUGUGUAGGAUAGGUGGGAGGCUUUGAAGUGUGGACGCCAGUCUGCAUGGAGCCGACCUUGAAAUACCACCCUUUAAUGUUUGAUGUUCUAACGUGGACCCGUAAUCCGGGUUGCGGACAGUGUCUGGUGGGUAGUUUGACUGGGGCGGUCUCCUCCUAAAGAGUAACGGAGGAGCACGAAGGUUGGCUAAUCCUGGUCGGACAUCAGGAGGUUAGUGCAAUGGCAUAAGCCAGCUUGACUGCGAGCGUGACGGCGCGAGCAGGUGCGAAAGCAGGUCAUAGUGAUCCGGUGGUUCUGAAUGGAAGGGCCAUCGCUCAACGGAUAAAAGGUACUCCGGGGAUAACAGGCUGAUACCGCCCAAGAGUUCAUAUCGACGGCGGUGUUUGGCACCUCGAUGUCGGCUCAUCACAUCCUGGGGCUGAAGUAGGUCCCAAGGGUAUGGCUGUUCGCCAUUUAAAGUGGUACGCGAGCUGGGUUUAGAACGUCGUGAGACAGUUCGGUCCCUAUCUGCCGUGGGCGCUGGAGAACUGAGGGGGGCUGCUCCUAGUACGAGAGGACCGGAGUGGACGCAUCACUGGUGUUCGGGUUGUCAUGCCAAUGGCACUGCCCGGUAGCUAAAUGCGGAAGAGAUAAGUGCUGAAAGCAUCUAAGCACGAAACUUGCCCCGAGAUGAGUUCUCCCUGAGACUUAAAGUCUCCUGAAGGAACGUUGAAGACGACGACGUUGAUAGGCCGGGUGUGUAAGCGCAGUGAUGCGUUGAGCUAACCGGUACUAAUGAACCGUGAGGCUUAACCUUACAACGCCGAAG
RNAcentral lists this ribosomal RNA (1802 nucleotides) under Salmonella enterica. Its description in RNAcentral is "partial 23S ribosomal RNA". It matches the Rfam family "Bacterial large subunit ribosomal RNA", at positions 1181 to 2925 of the family's 2925-position model. Lineage: Bacteria; Pseudomonadati; Pseudomonadota; Gammaproteobacteria; Enterobacterales; Enterobacteriaceae. The record is from RNAcentral.